UACGUAGGGGGCUAGCGUUGUCCGGAAUCAUUGGGCGUAAAGCGCGUGUAGGCGGUCCGGUAAGUCCGCUGUGAAAGUCGGGGGCUCAACCCUCGGAUGCCGGUGGAUACUGUCGGGCUUGAGUACGGAAGAGGCGAGUGGAAUUCCUGGUGUAGCGGUGAAAUGCGCAGAUAUCAGGAGGAACACCAAUUGCGAAGGCAGCUCGCUGGGACGUUACUGACGCUGAGACGCGAAAGCGUGGGAGCAAACAGG
Molecule: ribosomal RNA, 252 nt
Filed under: uncultured bacterium
Lineage: Bacteria
Description: partial 16S ribosomal RNA
Rfam family: Bacterial small subunit ribosomal RNA
Source: RNAcentral